AGUGAACGCUGGCGGUAGGCCUAACACAUGCAAGUCGAACGGUAGCACAGGAGAGCUUGCUCUCUGGGUGGCGAGUGGCGGACGGGUGAGGAAUACAUCGGAAUCUACUCUGUCGUGGGGGAUAACGUAGGGAAACUUACGCUAAUACCGCAUACGACCUACGGGUGAAAGCAGGGGAUCUUCGGACCUUGCGCGAUUGAAUGAGCCGAUGUCGGAUUAGCAAGUUGGCGGGGUAAAGGCCCAUCAAGGCGACGAUCCGUAGCUGGUCUGAGAGGAUGAUCAGCCACACUGGAACUGAGACACGGUCCAGACUCCUACGGGAGGCAGCAGUGGGGAAUAUUGGACAAUGGGCGCAAGCCUGAUCCAGCCAUACCGCGUGGGUGAAGAAGGCCUUCGGGUUGUAAAGCCCUUUUGUUGGGAAGGAAAUCCAGCUGGCUAAUACCCGGUUGGGAUGACGGUACCCAAAGAAUAAGCACCGGCUAACUUCGUGCCAGCCGCCGCCGUAA
RNAcentral lists this ribosomal RNA (506 nucleotides) under uncultured bacterium. RNAcentral describes it as "partial 16S ribosomal RNA". It matches the Rfam family "Bacterial small subunit ribosomal RNA", at positions 29 to 523 of the family's 1533-position model. The record is from RNAcentral.